GAUGAACGCUGGCGGCGUGCCUAAUACAUGCAAGUCGAGCGAACAGACGAGGAGCUUGCUCCUCUGACGUUAGCGGCGGACGGGUGAGUAACACGUGGAUAACCUACCUAUAAGACUGGGAUAACUUCGGGAAUCCGGAGCUAAUACCGGAUAAUAUAUUGAACCGCAUGGUUCAAUAGUGAAAGACGGUUUUGCUGUCACUUAUAGAUGGAUCCGCGCCGCAUUAGCUAGUUGGUAAGGUAACGGCUUACCAAGGCGACGAUGCGUAGCCGACCUGAGAGGGUGAUCGGCCACACUGGAACUGAGACACGGUCCAGACUCCUACGGGAGGCAGCAGUAGGGAAUCUUCCGCAAUGGGCGAAAGCCUGACGGAGCAACGCCGCGUGAGUGAUGAAGGUCUUCGGAUCGUAAAACUCUGUUAUUAGGGAAGAACAAAUGUGUAAGUAACUAUGCACGUCGUGACGGUACCUAAUCAGAAAGCCACGGCUAACUACGUG
Molecule: ribosomal RNA, 497 nt
Filed under: uncultured bacterium
Lineage: Bacteria
Description: partial 16S ribosomal RNA
Rfam family: Bacterial small subunit ribosomal RNA
Source: RNAcentral